ACAUCCAGAGAAUUUAGCAGAGAUGCUUUAGUGCCUUCGGGAACUCUGAGACAGGUGCUGCAUGGCUGUCGUCAGCUCGUGUUGUGAAAUGUUGGGUUAAGUCCCGCAACGAGCGCAACCCUUAUCCUUUGUUGCCAGCACGUAAUGGUGGGAACUCAAAGGAGACUGCCGGUGAUAAACCGGAGGAAGGUGGGGAUGACGUCAAGUCAUCAUGGCCCUUACGAGUAGGGCUACACACGUGCUACAAUGGCGCAUACAAAGAGAAGCGGCCUCGCGAGAGCAAGCGGACCUCAUAAAGUGCGUCGUAGUCCGGAUUGGAGUCUGCAACUCGACUCCAUGAAGUCGGAAUCGCUAGUAAUCGUAAAUCAGAAUGUUACGGUGAAUACGUUCCCGGGCCUUGUACACACCGCCCGUCACACCAUGGGAGUGGGUUGCAAAAGAAGUAGAUAGCUUAACCUUCGGGAGGGCGUUUACCACUUUGUGAUUCAUGACUGGGGUGAAGUCGUAACAAGGUAAGCGUAGUGCU
This 526-nucleotide ribosomal RNA is filed under the name uncultured bacterium. RNAcentral's name for it is "bacterial SSU rRNA". It matches the Rfam family "Bacterial small subunit ribosomal RNA", at positions 984 to 1509 of the family's 1533-position model. The record is from RNAcentral.